CGCGUAGGCGGUCCGCCAAGUCAGGGGUGAAAUCCUGCAGCUUAACUGUAGAAGUGCCUCUGAUACUGGCGGUCUUGAGGGAAAUAGGGGUGUGCGGAACUUCCAGUGGAGCGGUGAAAUGCGUUGAUAUUGGAAGGAACGCCGGAGGCGAAAGCGGCGCACUGGAUUUCUUCUGACGCUGAGGCGCGAAAGCUAGGGGAGCAAACG
This 207-nucleotide ribosomal RNA is filed under the name uncultured bacterium. Its description in RNAcentral is "partial 16S ribosomal RNA". It matches the Rfam family "Bacterial small subunit ribosomal RNA", at positions 568 to 774 of the family's 1533-position model. The record is from RNAcentral.